GUUUUAUAUUUGUUUCAUAUCCGACCUAGAUUCGUGGUUGAACCUAUAGACCCGAUACAUUGUAUAUAAUUUGUUAGGAUUUAAUGAAAAUGCGUUAAUUAAAAAUCCGAUAGAGCCCGGUAAAAAUCCAAAAACUUACUAUUAACCUGCGAUCUGAUACCAUUGACCUGAUAAAAAUACAAAAUAUCUGAUAGUAUUUAAAAAAAAAAUUGAUUAAAUUACUCAUAUAUUUUUUAAUAUUACAUAAACUAGAUAAUAAUCUGCGCUACGCCUCGGGAGUCUUCAUAUAUUUUGUUUCUAACUGUUAUUUUAGUAUCAUAUUUCGACUGAUAUGAAUUAAUAAUUUAAACAAAAAAUAAUAUAUUUAAUUUAGUAUAAAAAUUUUGACAUAAAUAUUUAAAAUGGAUAAAACUAAAACUUAAACAAAGAGUAAAAAUGUGCUUUCAUAAUAUCAAGAACAUGUUUAUUAUUUUGUAUUUGGUAUCAACUCUCAUAUUUAGUCUAAUUUGGAUAUAAACCUAAACCUUUCAAAAUAAAAGAAUACCACUAUUAACUUGUAUGUAUACUUCUUUUUGAAGUUUUGUAGUUUAAAUAUAUCACUUUGAUUUAUAAAUUUAAUCUCAUAUAUAUUGUGUCAUAUUUCUAUAUUUACAAUAAAAAAGCUCGUGUAUCUCUCACAAAAAUUAUUUUCUUAUCACUUGUCAAUGCCACACUCCCUGUUGCUCUAUUUCCGCAACCUCUUAUCUUCAUUUUUUUGUCAUAGAAACUUUGAUUAUUUACAUUAUAUCAGUUUGUACAUUUCAUUAUAUCUUCCAUAUUUCAUUGUAACUUGUAAUAUGGAAAAUAUGCAAACUGAUAUAAUGUAAAUAAUUAAAGUUUUUAUCUAAAGAAAUCAAUAUCUAAAUAUUUAUUUUUGUAACUUGAUAUAUAUACAACUAUUUUAGAUAGAAUAUACAAACUUGAAAUAAUUUAGAACUGCUGUAAAGUUGUUCCUUAAUUCAUAGCUUCGAUGCAUCCACCUUCUCAAUGCUUCAUCCGCAUUCUCAACGGGGCCACCCAUAUACUCUACAACUAUAUCUGUAGUUUUCUGAGUCAAAUCACUUACACCUAAUCACAAACGAAGUCUGGACAUUCCAAAGACAAAAUAAAUGCUCUGCUCUCUCAAAUUUUUCAGUUCAUGAUCAAUUAAUCAGUUCACCAAAAAUUCAAAAUCAUCACCUUGUAAUCUACAUUUUCUGAAACAGAGAUCUCUUGAAGAUCCCAUACACAGAAAAAACCAUACACAUUGUAUCCUCCCUUGUGAAAUAAAGUUAGAUGUAGUCACGUACACAUCGCAAAAACCAUCUUUCACUUUCUGGUUCAAGUUUGUGUCAGUGACCGGAGCCUUAACCUUAAGGCUAAUCCGCUUAGCAGCAUCAAGCUGAGCUGCAUCUGCAUUCUCUGUCAGAUCAGGAUCAGACAAGCUGAUUUCCAUAGCUAAAUGGGCUUGAUACUUUCUCCUCGGUCAAAUUGAAAUAAACACCAUCCACAGCCGCCGCAAGAUCACGUUCUAGACGUUGCCGAAACCUAACGAAGAGACAGAUAAAGUAAAAAAUGGGCUCGAGGUAGAGCUACUGAAUAGGGGCGGGAUCGAUCAUCGGUCUAGGCGACUCGUCUAACCUGUGAUGGUCUCUGAAUCCGCAGCCAAUGCCACUACUUCCUCCGAUGUGGAGUUUCCAAAGGAUGCUUCAUCUUCGGCAUCGUUCUUCAACGAUGAACUGAUCUCUCUCUCUCUCUCUCUCUCUCUCUCUCUCUCUCUCUCUCUCUCUCUCUCUCUCUCUCUCUAAGUCUCUAGUUUAUUCUCCAAUUCAUCAUGGGCAAAUCAAGGAAGAAGAAAAUGUAGAACACCACACGAUGACAUAGAAAAACAAAAUGUUCUUAUUGGUGCUACAACUUUUUUCAUUUAUUGACAUGUCACCUCCUCAGACUUCUAAAAAGCUGAGGUGUCAAAUGCUGGAGAGAACAUUGUGCUGUUAUUGUGUUGAUUUGUGAUUCCUUAGAAUUUAAUGAAAUUUUAUUAUGUUAUCCAAAUAAAAAAUGAUAAUAUAAGAAACUUAUUGAUAUGACAAUAUUAAUUUAUUUUCGUUAUCAAUAACCUAUUAUAAGUUUGUAUUUUUGUUUUUAGAUUUAAAAAUUGAUUUUAAGAUAGUUUUUAAAAUAUUCUUAAACACUCGUAAUUUUCAUAUCAAUAUUAUGUACAAAAUGACAUUAUAAAUGGAAAAAUAAUAUUCAAAUAUGUAUAUGGUAUAGUGUAAGAUAUAGGAUUUUGGUUGUUAUUGAAAAUCUGUAUAAUAUUCGAAUGAUCUAUUUUGAAUAUUGAUACGUAGAUUUAAGAAAAUAAUAUUUUCAUGUUUAUUAAUUUAUUUAUAGUUCAUAAUAUAUUUAUAGUUAUAUUAAAUUUUAAGUUAGUAUAUUUUUUAAAUAUAUAUAUAUAUAGGCUCAUUAUUUAUAGAUCUAUUUAAGUAUAUCGGUAAUCCAAAAUCAAAAGACUUAAUUGUCAUUAAUGAAUUUUAUUAAUCCUUGUAAAAAUAAUGGUAUUUUUGAGAAAACUGUAAUUUUCAUUAAAAGUAUAAUUUGAGAAUGAUCUUCUUUUAAUGGUAUUAAUUAAUUGAGGAUCUUUUUUAAUUGAGUAUUAAUGUAUACUGUACAAAUAAUAUCUUUUUGUUGACCAAAAGAUUAAGGAAAUACUUUGACUAUUGACCAAUUGUAUCGGCAAUGUAUUUACUUGUCUUGAACCCACUAAUCACGUUCUAUAAAUAUAUUAUACACCCUACGAAUUUGUAAUCAUCUCCAUUCAAACAUACAAAUAGGACGAUAUAAGAUUAUCAAAUAAACUAAAUGGAGAAAAUCUCAGCAUUUUUUGUCAUCAUCUUCCUCGUCUCGUCAUGUAUGGUAGAAGUGACUGUUACAAAGAGCUUCUUGAAACUGUGUCAAACAGACCAGGAUUGUGUGGACUAUAAAUUUCCAAACUGUGAGAGCACAGGGAAACCGCCAAUUUGCCAGAACAAUUAUUGUUGGUGUCCCGAUGAAAGGCUUCAUGCUUCCACCACUCCUUUAUUGACGGCCACCUCCAACUCUUGAUAAUCUUCAUAUAUAUAAAACUUGUUCAUCGUUAUCUUCUAAUAACUAAUGGCGAUAUUUUAAUAAUAUAAUGAUGCCGACUCA
Molecule: long non-coding RNA, 3204 nt
Organism: Brassica napus (rape)
Lineage: Eukaryota; Viridiplantae; Streptophyta; Magnoliopsida; Brassicales; Brassicaceae
Exons: 2
Source: RefSeq, a predicted model, not a curated record